UGGAGGUGAUGGACACAAGUGUGUGACCAAUGAGGAGGAGAAGCUGCCGCAGAGAGCCAGAGGGGAAGGAGUGGGCGGGCCAACGCCCUCCCCUCCCUCAGGCGCCCAGGUCCUCCCUCCUGCCCAUUUCGGCCCUACUCCAUGAUUUCAGCCUGUAUCCUAAGCCCACCUAAGAAAAUGAACCAAGCUGCAGACUUCUCAUAGUGCCCAGAUUGUGUAUCUGUUGCCCCUCGGUGUUUUGAAACUUCUUCGGAGUUCGGCAGUGCAAGGAGGCCAGCAUCCUCAUCCCAGGACAUAGUGAUCUGCAGGAGGUCUCUACUGAUCUCAUCUGGUCUGGUCAAGACUUGGCUGGACUCAGCCGAAUUCAGCUGGGCUUUGCUCCAGGACACAGUUCUUAGCAGCCAGCAAACAGCCUCCUUAGUUACCAGGGAGACUUCAGGGAGAGAAGCUCGGCCUGUUGCCCUGUAUGAAGUAACCGCUUCGUAGAUUUCAAAUGAAUGAAGAAUGAUAUGGAAUCACCACUGAUUCAGUGGUAUAGAAAAACUUAAUGAGGAGCGCUCAAAGUAUCUCAGAGAGGAAAGAAGGAAAGUCGAUUACUUGAAAUAACCAGGAGUGGGCAGCGUCAAAGAGAUAAAGGAGGGGCUUUCAAUGAGUAUCACAAAGUGGAACAUGUAGGGAAUAAAGGGGAUAGAAAUUCAGCAGGUAUUUACUGAGCAUCUCCUACAUGCCAGGCACUGUGGGAGAGCAGACAUCAGUGAUGAAGAUUGAACCAGCCACCCAGCCUGCUGACAGGGGUCAGACCUGAGUACCAGAGAAGGCAGCUGGACACCUGAAGCCCAGAUUGGGCACCCUGCACAGCCCAGUAUUUGCCCAACUGAAAAACCCAGCACUAAUUCGAUAGCUAAUAUGGGACAGAGAUGAUGAGUGGGUUUUUGCUUUUAAAAGACUUACUUCAGGACUUCCCUGUUGA
Delphinapterus leucas (beluga whale) is the source of this 970-nucleotide non-coding RNA. NCBI's taxonomy places the organism in Eukaryota, Metazoa, Chordata, Mammalia, Artiodactyla, Monodontidae. The record is from RefSeq and is a predicted model, not a curated record.